This 614-nucleotide long non-coding RNA is filed under the name Zea mays. RNAcentral's name for it is "long non-coding RNA (ZMAY_LNC000272)". Lineage: Eukaryota; Viridiplantae; Streptophyta; Magnoliopsida; Poales; Poaceae. The record is from RNAcentral.
GCAAGUUCAAAUUUCGAUUACAUUCCAUCCAGCAAGUAGUGUUGGAACAAAAUAGAGCUUAGCACAUUCCUUCCAUGAAGUAGUUUUGGAGCAAAAUAAAAUUCACUACACCCAACAAGACUUUUAAUUCUGCCACAUCCCUUCCAUUGACCAAUUUUGGAGCAAAAUAAAAUGCAGACACUCAACACAUAUUAGACUCUUGACGCAUCAAGCACCCUCUAACGUAUUGGAGGCAUCUACAUUCGAUUCAACAACUUGUAACUGAUUAGAUUCAGCAACAUUUGAUGUCCCACCCUCCAAUUGAUUUGAGACAACACUUGAUGUCUUCUUGUUUCUCCUCCUAUGUGCAACACAGUAAAAGGUAGUUGAGAAAAAGUAUAAGCACACCUCAUCAUUGCAAAUUCACUAGGAAGCAAAGGGCAAUUUAGCCAUUUUGAAUUUUUUAACGGAGAGACUAACUUGACGGAUGGAGUAAGCUGACGUGACAGACUUAAUAGGGUAUAAAAGGGAUGAACAUUGAGAAUCUGAAUAUAAACGGGAACUAUACUAGGGGGAAAUAAGGGAUGACGUCCAAAAACAGGGGCAAAUAAAGGAUCAACUCCAAAUUUUUUUAC